This 483-nucleotide ribosomal RNA is filed under the name uncultured bacterium. Its description in RNAcentral is "partial 16S ribosomal RNA". It matches the Rfam family "Bacterial small subunit ribosomal RNA", at positions 30 to 507 of the family's 1533-position model. The record is from RNAcentral.
AUUGAACGCUGGCGGCAGGCCUAACACAUGCAAGUCGAGCGGAUGAAGGGAGCUUGCUCCUGGAUUCAGCGGCGGACGGGUGAGUAAUGCCUAGGAAUCUGCCUGGUAGUGGGGGAUAACGUCCGGAAACGGGCGCUAAUACCGCAUACGUCCUGAGGGAGAAAGUGGGGGACUUCGGGCCUCACGCCAUCCGGUGAGGCUAGGUCGGAUUAGCUAGUUGGUGGGGGAAAGGCCUACCAGGGCGACGAUCCGUAACUGGUCUGAGAGGAUGAUCAGUCACACUGGAACUGAGACACGGUCCAGACUCCUACGGGAGGCAGCAGUGGGGAAUAUUGGACAAUGGGCGAAAGCCUGAUCCAGCCAUGCCGCGUGUGUGAAGAAGGUCUUCGGAUUGUAAAGCACUUUAAGUUGGGAGGAAGGGCAGUAAGUUAAUACCUUGCUGUUUUGACGUUACCAACAGAAUAAGCACCGGCUAACUUCGUG